CUCCGAUAUUGCCUCACCUCCCCCAAAAGAGCUCAGUUCUUGCUGCAAUUUUGAAAGGCAAGGAUAGCUGUGCUACAGCUGCACAACCCGAGACUGCUUUCACUCAUUGAAACGACCGACUUUGGCAAGAACUCACCAAGUGACAGGUGAAAGCGGACUGUGGCAGGUUUUUGAAGAUGCACCUUUCUUCCUGCUAAAAACAGAGGAUGCUAUAUGCAGACAAUGCAGAUUUCAAAGCCUAGCUGCUCGAGUGCCGUCAUACUUCCUAGAAAUCAAACAGGUCACAGCGCUACUUAUUAGGUGAGUAAGUUUUUUUCUUUGUUGUUGUUUUUUUUGGGUAAGGUAUUCACUACAAAGCCUAACUCAAGCUCCUGGAAGAUGCAUGAAAAAUGUAAUGUAGUCAGAGCCAAAGAAUAAUCUCUCUCUCUUUCUCUCUCUCUCGCCUGCUCUUUUUCCUCCGGUCUCUCACCCUCCCUCUCUUGAUCAUUCACUUCUCACUUCUCUCUGGUGCCCUCCUUCUCGCCUCUGUGUGUCUGUUUGUCCAUCUGCCUGUUUCUCUCUCAG
Ictalurus punctatus (channel catfish) is the source of this 564-nucleotide long non-coding RNA. The record is from Ensembl. Lineage: Eukaryota; Metazoa; Chordata; Actinopteri; Siluriformes; Ictaluridae.